GCGUUUGUAGUCCAACGUUAGGAUAAUUGCCUUCCAAGCAAUACCCGGGUUCGACUCCCGGCAAACGCA
Molecule: transfer RNA, 69 nt
Filed under: Ipomoea nil (Japanese morning glory)
Lineage: Eukaryota; Viridiplantae; Streptophyta; Magnoliopsida; Solanales; Convolvulaceae
Rfam family: tRNA
About the family: Transfer RNA (tRNA) molecules are approximately 80 nucleotides in length. Their secondary structure includes four short double-helical elements and three loops (D, anti-codon, and T loops).
Source: Rfam by way of RNAcentral